GCGGGACGAAACCGCGCUACUACUAACACCAGCGUAGUAUCGUCUUGCGGUUCCCGCCAAAGAUCCCCCUGACGCCCCCCGGGGGGCCCCCCAUCGCCCUGACUUCAAGGGACUUUACAAUUUUAUGCACUUUUUGUUUGGUCGUUUUCUUAAAUCUCCCUUACUGUUGUUUGUUCUCACCCCGUAGGUAAUUGCUAGAGGCCACCACUUUUCUUUAAACGAUUUGUUGAUCAUGUUCUCCAGAGGGAAGUGAGAUAACACUCCGAGGGCUGGAUAUGGUGGGCACUGCACUUGCAUCGGAGCAGCGAAAGAGACAGGGCGUUUUGUUUGUUCAUAUGCAACAGCGUUGCGCUUAAGUUUGCCAAUGAAGUAAUAUGUAACGUCGUAAAUUUUCUACCGCUUAUCAGCGUCAGCCCUUAGGAGAUGGUUAGGUGGGACGGAAGUGGGUGUGUGCCAAGUAUGCACACUACAAUACUGGGACUGUACCGGAUAGAUGCAGUACAACUAACUACUUGGAGCCAAUAUUUGUUCCCGAGUACGAUGGGCAGGAACGAUCGUUUGAUUAUAGCGCUCGAUCGCGUACGAUUGAGGUUAACCUUGUUUACUACAAAUUUGUCGCUGGAAUCCUAUUAAUGAAUCGGUGCGAACCGGUUCAACGAUGGAUGGAUUAGGUAAGCGAGAUGCUUGUUUGUUUUGCUUUAUUUCUUAAAUCUCCCUUGAGAUGAGUCAUAGAAAUGUUUACUCGAUGUAUCGAGAACGCAAAAAAGCAUCGGUAAUGGAACGCUAGUGAACGUUUCGGAACUACUAUUCCAAAUUACAAUCUUAUCAACACAUCAGCAAAAAGCGUUGUGCCUGAUGCGAAGUUACCUUAAGAGAACAACAACUUGCCCUAUUAGAUAUAAACAACAAAUUUAGAGCUCUCUUCGUCAACAAGAUUGAGCUAUUUCCAUUUCCGGAGCGCAUCAACACGUACUGCGACUUAGGCCUUAGCAAAUCGCUUACAACGGCUCAAGCUCGUGCAAUAUGAAUAGCUUCCUGAUUUAUAGCCUUUCGGGCUCGUGCGUAAUGUAUCCUUUCGAUGGGCAUGUCUGAUAACGAUUUUGUCCCCCACUAAUCGAAAACCGGUUUUACCGCCUUAGUGGUCGACUAGGGAAAGGUGACUAAAAAUAGUGCUUUCAGUUAAUAAUCCGAUCCGAACGGGAACUGGUAACGUGUUGGGACGAGUGUCAACGUGGGUAGUGUGCGUGUGCGUGAACACAAUGUACGUCAGCGGCUAGGCCACGUUCUUCGGGGGGCCAUUUUCUGCAAGGAAGCCGGUUUAUCGUUUGUUCUCGUGAUUGUUUGCUGACGUUGGUGAGAAAUAUGUGAUACUUUCUUCUGCCGCAGUGUUUCGUUGUUACCUGCACCUUCUACCGGCUUGAAGAGUUUAUGACUCGACAGGACCGACCAGCUCGGUGACCAGAGCUGCAUCGAUCGGAAUGCUCGCGGCGGUUUUGUGGGCCGAAAGCUAAAAGAUCCAGCGAUAAAGAGAGAGAGAGAGAGAGAGUUUAGAGAUUUUAAGGCUGUAAGGACGUUGAAGUCCAACAGCAGUUUCUUGAACUCUUCACACAGACAACCAAGAUAGUCCGAAGUGUUACGCAUGAUUGAAUCUCGUUUUGAGAGAAACCUUACGAAAGCAAAUGUCUGCUUAAGAGCGUCGUUCUUUUCUUUAAUAUUCAACCAGUAUCAAUACCGUUCUUAAGGAAUAUUCAAAAAAUUUUGAGGAGCAGUUAAUUGACCGAAGGUCGGAGGCGAAACAAGGCUCGCACUUUAAUUUCUCAAAUCUUUGCUUGCAAUCCAUUACGUUUUUCAGCCAUAUUGCUACGGUAAGACUGAAUAUUGCUAUUUUGAAAAUUUUAUUUGUUGUUUGUUGGAUUUAAGGAUUUCUUCAGCGUAUCUUACAUUUUUACUAUAACGUCGAAAGGCCUGUCUGGCUUCUUGUGACUUGAUCUUACCCACAGAACUGACUUCGAACGGGUGUGACUAGCUGAACUGCGUACUCUUUUGCAGUUCAUCUGCAGUAAUAUAGCCAAGUUAGGAAUGACAAUUUUGCCUGAAAUACUAUAAAGCCGAACAAUGUUGAGACAAUGCAAUCUAGAUGGAAUUUUGGAUCCUCAGGCUAAUGUAUUCCACAAUUCACCUUUCAAGUACUCGUUAAACUAGACAUUAAGUUCUAAUAGCUACACCUUUUUAU
Anopheles stephensi (Asian malaria mosquito) is the source of this 2233-nucleotide long non-coding RNA. RefSeq lists it as uncharacterized. The transcript has 3 exons. NCBI's taxonomy places the organism in Eukaryota, Metazoa, Arthropoda, Insecta, Diptera, Culicidae. The record is from RefSeq and is a predicted model, not a curated record.